UAUCACGUUGAAACACCGGUUCUAGUACAAUCACAGAAGUUAAGCAACGACGAUCCUGAUCAGUACUUAGAUGGGCGACCACUUGAGAAUAUAUAGUGCUGUA
Molecule: non-coding RNA, 103 nt
Organism: Acanthosepion pharaonis
Lineage: Eukaryota; Metazoa; Mollusca; Cephalopoda; Sepiida; Sepiidae
Source: the annotation of a GenBank genome assembly